AUGCAAGUCGAAUGGAAUGCCAAAAUAUUCCAUGGCAAACUGCUCAAUAACACGUGAUCAACUUACCCUAUGGAAAACAAUAACCUCUGGAAACGGAGGAUAAUGGUUUAUAGUUGAAAAGGCUUGGAAAAGUUUUUCAAUAAAAGGGAAUAAUAAAAAUGGUUAUUAUUUUGCCAUAGGAUAGGAUUGCGGUCGAUUAUGGCUGUUGGUGAGGUAAUGGCUCACCAAACCAAUAAUCGAUAGGGGCCGUGAGAGCGGGAGCCCCGAGAUGGGUACUGAGACAACGACCCAGGCCUUACGAGGCGCAGCAGGCGCGAAAACUCCGCAAUACACGAAAGUGUGACGGGGUUACCCAAAGUGCUUAAUAUUUAAGCUGUGGUAAGUGUGUAAUGUACCUUACUAGAAAGGAGAGGGCAAGGCUGGUGCCAGCCGCCGCGGUAAAACCAGCUCUUCAAGUGGUCGGGAUAUUUAUUGGGCUUAAAGUGUCCGUAGCUUGUAUAAUAAGUUCCUGGUAAAAUCUAAUAGCUUAACUAUUAGUAUGCUAGGAAUACUGUUAUACUAGAGGGCGGGAGAGGUUUGAGGUACUUCAGGGGUAGGGGUGAAAUCCUAUAAUCCUUGAAGGACCACCAGUGGCGAAGGCGUCAGACUGGAACGCGCCUGACAGUGAGGGACGAAAGCCAGGGGAGCGAACCGGAUUAGAUACCCGGGUAGUCCUGGCCGUAAACGAUGCACACUAGGUGUUGGUAUGGCUAUGAGCCAUAUCAGUGCCGAAGGGAAACCAUUAAGUGUGCCGCCUGGGAAGUACGGUCGCAAGGCUAAAACUUAAAGGAAUUGGCGGGGGAGCACCACAAGGGGUGAAGCCUGCGGUUC
This 870-nucleotide ribosomal RNA is filed under the name uncultured archaeon. Its description in RNAcentral is "bacterial SSU rRNA". It matches the Rfam family "Archaeal small subunit ribosomal RNA", at positions 51 to 903 of the family's 1478-position model. The record is from RNAcentral.